UGGUUCCUGUGGGACGCGGUGGUGGCCUUUGGGUCGGAAAAGUGAGCGAUAUUCUCCUCUUUUUCCUUGUUUUUCUCCUAGUUUUUCUUGGUCGGUAGAGCGCAGGUAUGGGUCGCAAGAAGAAGAAGCAGCUGAAGCCGUGGUGCUGGUAUUGUAAUAGAGAUUUUGAUGAUGAGAAGAUCCUUAUACAGCACCAAAAAGCAAAGCAUUUUAAAUGCCAUAUAUGUCAUAAGAAAUUGUAUACAGGACCUGGCUUAGCUAUUCAUUGCAUGCAGGUACAUAAAGAGACAAUAGAUGCUGUACCCAAUGCAAUACCUGGGAGAACAGACAUAGAGUUGGAAAUAUAUGGUAUGGAAGGUAUUCCAGAGAAAGACAUGGAUGAAAGGAGACGACUUCUUGAACAGAAGACACAAGAAAGUCAAAAAAAGAAGCAACAAGAUGAUUCUGAUGAGUAUGAUGAUGAUGAUUCUGCAGCCUCAACUUCAUUUCAACCACAGCCUGUUCAACCUCAGCAAGGUUAUAUUCCCCCAAUGGCGCAGCAGGACUGCCACCAGUUCCAGGAGCACCAGGAAUGCCUCCAGGCAUACCUCCAUUGAUGCCAGGUGUUCCUCCUCUGAUGCCAGGAAUGCCACCAGUUAUGCCAGGCAUGCCACCUGGAUUGCAUCAUCAGAGAAAAUACACCCAGUCAUUUUGCGGUGAAAACAUAAUGAUGCCAAUGGGUGGAAUGAUGCCACCUGGACCAGGAAUACCACCUCUGAUGCCUGGGAUGCCACCAGGUAUGCCUCCCCCUGUUCCACGUCCUGGAAUCCCUCCAAUGACCCAAGCGCAGGCUGUUUCAGCGCCAGGUAUUCUUAAUAGACCACCUGCACCGACAGCAACCGUACCUGCGCCACAGCCUCCUGUUACUAAGCCUCUUUUCCCUAGUGCUGGACAGAUGGGGACACCUGUAACAAGCUCAAGUACAGCUUCAUCCAAUUCAGAAAGUCUGUCUGCAUCUUCUAAAGCUCUGUUUCCUAGCACAGCACAAGCUCAGGCAGCUGUCCAAGGACCUGUUGGUACAGAUUUCAAGCCUUUAAAUAGUACCCCUGCAACAACUACAGAACCCCCAAAGCCUACGUUCCCUGCUUAUACUCAGGCUACAGCUUCAACCACUAGUACAACAAAUAGUACUGCAGCUAAACCAGCAGCUUCAAUAACAAGUAAGCCUGCUACACUAACGACAACUAGUGCAACCAGUAAGUUGAUCCAUCCAGAUGAGGAUAUAUCACUGGAAGAAAGAAGGGCACAGUUACCUAAAUAUCAACGUAAUCUUCCUCGACCAGGACAGGCCCUCAUUGGUAAUCCUCCAGUUGGACCAAUUGGAGGUAUGAUGCCACCACAACCAGGCAUCCCACAGCAACAAGGAAUGAGACCACCAAUGCCACCUCAUGGUCAGUAUGGUGGUCAUCAUCAAGGCAUGCCAGGUUACCUUCCUGGUGCUAUGCCGCCAUAUGGGCAGGGACCGCCAAUGGUACCCCCUUACCAAGGUGGGCUGCCUCGACCUCCGAUGGGAAUGAGACCUCCUGUAAUGUCGCAAGGUGGCCACUACUGAUCUUACUUCAUCCAGUCUAAUAGGUUUGGAGAUUAAACCUUUUCUCAACUUGUGCUGUUUAUAUAGCCAAGCUUCCGUCAAUAAGGCUUCAUUGUGACUUUAACAAACAUUAUCUUCCCACAUACCAGGAACUAUUGGACAUUUAUUUUACAUGGGAAAAAUUAUUUGGAAUAAUAAAGCAGGAACUUUUCCUGAAGUUGCAAUUUAUACUGUAUGGCUUCUUUUUCAUGUUUCAUCUAGGUUUUUAGAAGUGAAGUAUAGUAAUUUGGUUCGUUAAAUUGUGAAGGCGCUGGAAUUACAUGAACAUACCACCUUAAUAAAGGCAAGUUCUGUAAGCUUACAUUGCUAUUUGUAAAGUUAUGCCUUCACAGCAUUUCAGAUGCUGUUGGACUUCAUGUCCCCAACCUAGCUUGGUGAGGGCUGUAACUGUUUCCAAGUACCUGUACAUUGGAAGUCUGAAUGUGUAACAAUAUUUAAUGUAUUUAGAGUUCCUCAUGUUGCAGGGUUAAAGAAAUCUGACCCAUCAAGGUCAUGUGAAUUUCUGUACUGUUAAACUUCAUUGUAAUAAAAUGAGAGAAAAAUUUAUGCCUUUUUAUUCAUAACCCAGCUGUGGACCACUGCCUGAAAGGUUUGUACAGAUGCAUGCCACAGUAGAUGUCCACAUAAUAAAAUUCAUAGUUACCAAUA
RNA transcript from Nycticebus coucang (slow loris), 2278 nucleotides. It is a transcript of the gene named BUB3-interacting and GLEBS motif-containing protein ZNF207-like, with no coding region annotated. NCBI's taxonomy places the organism in Eukaryota, Metazoa, Chordata, Mammalia, Primates, Lorisidae. The record is from RefSeq and is a predicted model, not a curated record. The transcript has a single exon.